GUCUCGGUAGUGUAAGAGUUAAGAGCACGGUACCCGGAAAGGACAAGUACGGGUUCGAGUCCCGUCCGAAACU
Haemonchus placei is the source of this 73-nucleotide non-coding RNA. The record is from Rfam. Lineage: Eukaryota; Metazoa; Nematoda; Chromadorea; Rhabditida; Trichostrongylidae.